AGAUCUACAAAUAAGUCAACAUGACCAAAAUGGUCAGUUGACCACUUUAGGAGUAAUUGCCCUUUAUAGUCAAUUUUUAACCAUUUUUCGUAAAUCUCAGUAAUCUUUUAGAAAAAUCUUCUCCUCUGAAACUACUGGGCCAAAUUUAACCAAACUUAGCCAUAAUCAUCAUUGGGGUAUCUAGUUUAAAAAAUGUGUCCGGUGACCCGGCCAACCAACCAAGAUGGCCGCCAUGGCUAAAAAUAGAACAUAGGGGUAAAAUGCAGUUUUUGGCUUAUAACUCAAAAACCAAAGCAUUUAGAGCAAAUCUGACAGGUGUAAGAUUGUUCAUCAGGUCAAGAUCUAUCUGCCCUGAAAUUUUCAGAUGAAUCGGACAUUUCGUUGUUGGGUUGCUGCCCCUGAAAUGGUAAUUUUAAGGAAAUUUUGCUGUUUUUGGGUUAUUAUCUUGAAUAUUAUUAUAGAUAGAGAUAAACUGUAAACAGCAAUAAUGUUCAGCAAAGUAAGAUCUACAAAUAAGUCAACAUGACCAAAAUGGUCAGUUGACCACUUUAGGAGUUAUUGCCCUUUAUAGUCAAUUUUUAACAAUUUUUCGUAAAUCUUAGUAAUCUUUUAGAAAAAUCUUCUCCUCUGAAACUACUGGGCCAAAUUUAACCAAACUUGGCCAUAAUCAUCAUUGGGGUAUCUAGUUUAAAAAAUGUGUCCGGUGCCCCGCACAACCAACCAAGAUGGCGGCCAUGGCUAAAAAUAGAACAUAGGGGUAAUAAUGCAGUUUUUGGCUUAUAACUCAAAAACCAAAGCAUUUAGAGCAAAUCUGACAUGGGGUAAUAUUGUUCAUCAGGUUAAGAUCUAUCUGCCCUGAAAUUUUCAGAUGAAUCGGACAUUUCGUUGUUGGGUUGC
Molecule: long non-coding RNA, 897 nt
Filed under: Mytilus galloprovincialis (Mediterranean mussel)
Lineage: Eukaryota; Metazoa; Mollusca; Bivalvia; Mytilida; Mytilidae
Source: RNAcentral